This 450-nucleotide ribosomal RNA is filed under the name uncultured bacterium. RNAcentral describes it as "partial 16S ribosomal RNA". It matches the Rfam family "Bacterial small subunit ribosomal RNA", at positions 354 to 796 of the family's 1533-position model. The record is from RNAcentral.
GUGGGGAAUUUUGGACAAUGGGCGCAAGCCUGAUCCAGCAAUGCCGCGUGCAGGAAGAAGGCCUUCGGGUUGUAAACUGCUUUUGUACGGAACGAAAAGGCUCUGGUUAAUACCUGGGGCUCAUGACGGUACCGUAAGAAUAAGCACCGGCUAACUACGUGCCAGCAGCCGCGGUAAUACGUAGGGUGCAAGCGUUAAUCGGAAUUACUGGGCGUAAAGCGUGCGCAGGCGGUUUUGUAAGACAGGCGUGAAAUCCCCGGGCUCAACCUGGGAAUGGCGCUUGGGACUGCAAGGCUGGAGUGCGGCAGAGGGGGAUGGAAUUCCGCGUGUAGCAGUGAAAUGCGUAGAUAUGCGGAGGAACACCGAUGGCGAAGGCAAUCCCCUGGGCCUGCACUGACGCUCAUGCACGAAAGCGUGGGGAGCAAACAGGAUUAGAUACCCGUGUAGUCC